Molecule: ribosomal RNA, 1158 nt
Filed under: Citrobacter farmeri
Lineage: Bacteria; Pseudomonadati; Pseudomonadota; Gammaproteobacteria; Enterobacterales; Enterobacteriaceae
Description: partial 23S ribosomal RNA
Rfam family: Bacterial large subunit ribosomal RNA
Source: RNAcentral
CAGGUGGUCAGGUAGAGAAUACCAAGGCGCUUGAGAGAACUCGGGUGAAGGAACUAGGCAAAAUGGUGCCGUAACUUCGGGAGAAGGCACGCUGAUAUGUAGGUGAAGUGAUUUACUCAUGGAGCUGAAAUCAGUCGAAGAUACCAGCUGGCUGCAACUGUUUAUUAAAAACACAGCACUGUGCAAACACGAAAGUGGACGUAUACGGUGUGACGCCUGCCCGGUGCCGGAAGGUUAAUUGAUGGGGUUAUCCGUAAGGAGAAGCUCUUGAUCGAAGCCCCGGUAAACGGCGGCCGUAACUAUAACGGUCCUAAGGUAGCGAAAUUCCUUGUCGGGUAAGUUCCGACCUGCACGAAUGGCGUAAUGAUGGCCAGGCUGUCUCCACCCGAGACUCAGUGAAAUUGAACUCGCUGUGAAGAUGCAGUGUACCCGCGGCAAGACGGAAAGACCCCGUGAACCUUUACUAUAGCUUGACACUGAACACUGGUCCUUGAUGUGUAGGAUAGGUGGGAGGCUUUGAAGCGUGGACGCCAGUCUGCGUGGAGCCGCCCUUGAAAUACCACCCUUUAAUGGCUGGUGUUCUAACGUGGGCCCCUAAUCGGGGUUGCGGACAGUGUCUGGUGGGUAGUUUGACUGGGGCGGUCUCCUCCUAAAGAGUAACGGAGGAGCACGAAGGUUAGCUAAUCCUGGUCGGACAUCAGGAGGUUAGUGCAAAGGCAUAAGCUAGCUUGACUGCGAGCGUGACGGCGCGAGCAGGUGCGAAAGCAGGUCUUAGUGAUCCGGUGGUUCUGAAUGGAAGGGCCAUCGCUCAACGGAUAAAAGGUACUCCGGGGAUAACAGGCUGAUACCGCCCAAGAGUUCAUAUCGACGGCGGUGUUUGGCACCUCGAUGUCGGCUCAUCACAUCCUGGGGCUGAAGUAGGUCCCAAGGGUAUGGCUGUUCGCCAUUUAAAGUGGUACGCGAGCUGGGUUUAGAACGUCGUGAGACAGUUCGGUCCCUAUCUGCCGUGGGCGCUGGAGAAUUGAGGGGGGCUGCUCCUAGUACGAGAGGACCGGAGUGGACGCAUCACUGGUGUUCGGGUUGUCAUGCCAAUGGCACUGCCCGGUAGCUAAAUGCGGAAGAGAUAAGUGCUGAAAGCAUCUAAGCACGAAACUUGCC